This 21-nucleotide transfer RNA is filed under the name Colostethus sp. QCAZ10231. Its description in RNAcentral is "partial tRNA-Phe". The record is from RNAcentral. Lineage: Eukaryota; Metazoa; Chordata; Amphibia; Anura; Dendrobatidae.
CCUAAAAGUUUUCCGAACACG